RNAcentral lists this ribosomal RNA (492 nucleotides) under uncultured bacterium. RNAcentral describes it as "partial 16S ribosomal RNA". It matches the Rfam family "Bacterial small subunit ribosomal RNA", at positions 28 to 507 of the family's 1533-position model. The record is from RNAcentral.
AGCGAACGCUGGCGGCAGGCCUAACACAUGCAAGUCGAACGGCAGCACCGUAAGUGCUUGCGCUUACGGGUGGCGAGUGGCGGACGGGUGAGGAAGACCUCGGAAUCUACUUGUACGUGGGGGAUAACGCAGGGAAACCUACGCUGAUACCGCAUACGCCCUACGGGAGAAAGCAGGGGAUCUUCGGACCUUGCGCGAAGGUAAGAGCCGAUGUCGGAUUCGCUAGUUGGCGGGGUAAAGGCCUACCAAGGCGACGAUCGGUAGCUGGUCUGAGAGGAUGGUCCGCCAGACUGGAACUGAGGCUCGGUCCAGACUCCUACGGGAGGCCGCAGUGGGGAAUCUUGGACGAUGGGCGAGAGGCUGAUCCAGCCCUACCGCGUGAGUGAAGAAGGCCUUCUGGUUGUAGAGCCCUUUUGUUGGGAGGGAAAUGCAGCAGGUUAAUCCGCCGCUGUUAUGACGGUACCCGAAGAAUAAGCACCGGCUAACUUCGUG